UCCCUGGAGGACUAGUGGUUAGGCCUCGGCACUCUCACUGCCACGGCCCAGGUUUGAUUCCUGGCCAGGGAC
Molecule: transfer RNA, 72 nt
Filed under: Pangasianodon gigas (Mekong giant catfish)
Lineage: Eukaryota; Metazoa; Chordata; Actinopteri; Siluriformes; Pangasiidae
Description: tRNA-Glu
Rfam family: tRNA
About the family: Transfer RNA (tRNA) molecules are approximately 80 nucleotides in length. Their secondary structure includes four short double-helical elements and three loops (D, anti-codon, and T loops). Further hydrogen bonds mediate the characteristic L-shaped molecular structure. tRNAs have two regions of fundamental functional importance: the anti-codon, which is responsible for specific mRNA codon recognition, and the 3' end, to which the tRNAs corresponding amino acid is attached (by aminoacyl-tRNA synthetases). tRNAs cope with the degeneracy of the genetic code in two manners: having more than one tRNA (with a specific anti-codon) for a particular amino acid; and 'wobble' base-pairing, i.e. permitting non-standard base-pairing at the 3rd anti-codon position.
Source: RNAcentral